RNAcentral lists this ribosomal RNA (285 nucleotides) under uncultured bacterium. Its description in RNAcentral is "partial 16S ribosomal RNA". It matches the Rfam family "Bacterial small subunit ribosomal RNA", at positions 334 to 616 of the family's 1533-position model. The record is from RNAcentral.
UAUUCCUACGGGGCGCAGCAGUGAGGAAUAUUGGUCAAUGGCCGAGAGGCUGAACCAGCCAAGUCGCGUGAGGGAAGACGGCCCUACGGGUUGUAAACCUCUUUUGUCGGGGAGCAAAGCGAGUCACGUGUGACUCAUUAAGAGUACCCGAAGAAAAAGCAUCGGCUAACUCCGUGCCAGCAGCCGCGGUAAUACGGAGGAUGCGAGCGUUAUCCGGAUUUAUUGGGUUUAAAGGGAGCGUAGGCCGCAUGUCAAGCGUGCUGUGAAAUGUCCGGGCUCAACCCG